This is a non-coding RNA of Paramuricea clavata, 83 nucleotides long. NCBI's taxonomy places the organism in Eukaryota, Metazoa, Cnidaria, Anthozoa, Malacalcyonacea, Plexauridae. The record is from the annotation of a GenBank genome assembly.
GACCUUUGGGAUACUAGUCCAAUGCUCUACCAACUGAGCUACGAGCUCAGUUGGCAGAGCAUUGGAUUAGUAUCCCAAAGGUC